Arvicanthis niloticus (Nile rat) is the source of this 108-nucleotide small nuclear RNA. The record is from RefSeq and is a predicted model, not a curated record. Lineage: Eukaryota; Metazoa; Chordata; Mammalia; Rodentia; Muridae.
AGUGCUCGCCUACGCAUACUAUGUACUAAAGUUAGAAUGAUACAGAGAACUUUAGCAUGGCCCCUGUGCAAGGACAACAUACAAAUUUGUGAAGUGUUCCCUACUUAA